CCUACGGGGGGCAGCAGUGGGGAAUAUUGCACAAUGGAGGGAACUCUGAUGCAGCAACGCCGCGUGAAGGAAGAAGUAUUUCGGUAUGUAAACUUCUAUCAGUAGGGAAGAAAAGAAUGACGGUACCUAACUAAGAAGAACCGGCUAAAUACGUGCCAGCAGCCGCGGUAAUACGUAUGGUUCAAGCGUUAUCCGGAUUUACUGGGUGUAAAGGGUGAGUAGGCGGUUAUGCAAGUCAUAUGUGAAAUGUCGGGGCUCAACUCCGGCCUGCAUAAGAAACUGUAUAACUAGAGUGCAGGAGAGGCAAGCGGAAUUCCUAGUGUAGCGGUGAAAUGCGUAGAUAUUAGGAAGAACACCGGUGGCGAAGGCGGCUUGCUGGACUGUUACUGACGCUGAGUCACGAAAGCGUGGGGAGCAAACAGGAUUAGAUACCCUAGUAGUC
Molecule: ribosomal RNA, 442 nt
Filed under: Clostridioides difficile
Lineage: Bacteria; Bacillati; Bacillota; Clostridia; Peptostreptococcales; Peptostreptococcaceae
Description: bacterial SSU rRNA
Rfam family: Bacterial small subunit ribosomal RNA
Source: RNAcentral